UAUAUGCUUCUCUUUUUAUAAACAGAGUGGAGGAAAAAAACAAUGCCAGCAGUGCAUCACUUAUGAGCAAACCUACAAUAACCAGUGUCACAUCAUGUACGUUGUUGUAAGAACUCUGCAAUACCGAGAUACAACAGAUUAGGUAUGCCAUUGUUGCUGC
This is a long non-coding RNA of Dermochelys coriacea (leatherback sea turtle), 160 nucleotides long. RefSeq lists it as uncharacterized. The record is from RefSeq and is a predicted model, not a curated record. The transcript has 3 exons. Lineage: Eukaryota; Metazoa; Chordata; Testudines; Dermochelyidae.